RNAcentral lists this long non-coding RNA (375 nucleotides) under Struthio camelus australis. RNAcentral describes it as "lncRNA (ENSSCUG00000009037.1)". Lineage: Eukaryota; Metazoa; Chordata; Aves; Struthioniformes; Struthionidae. The record is from RNAcentral.
AUCACAUGCUGGAUAGCUUGGUGCAAGUGUAUUCUCAGCAGACAUAGAGAGUAACACUGCAUGCUUUACUUCUCAUUCCUUUGGCAAAGCAGCACCCCAGCUUUUCGGCAUUCACUGCAGAUUCUCACCUAACAUGCCUUGGAUGAGAUACCCUGAGAUGCAGCAGACAACAACAGAAACAGACAGAACUGCUCGUCCCAUUUAAUAGCUGAAGACUUGAGGCACAGCUGGUCAGAAUCACACAAGGCGUAUGGGUGUCUUGACCUUUCAAACAUCUUUCCAUAUGAACUGCUAGACUGGCAAACCUCGGGAGCUUGGCUGCACAUGACGGCAGGGUGGCAUGAGGAAGCUUACACUUCUGUUGUCCACACAUAA